ACUUAAUGUAUUUAUUUUUAAUCAUCUAAAAUAAUAGAUGGAAUGCACCCUAUAGAUUAACCGGAAGAAGAAGCAGAAAAGAAGGUGAUUCGAGAGCGGGAGAAGGAGUGAAGGAAACGUUUUAUAGCAAAAUAAAUAUACUUUAUUAGCUGCGUAUAAGAGGCUAAUGCAUUGCAGUAAACCAAACGUUUGCUGUUUAAUUUUACAAGAAAGAAAUCAGCUGCCGUUGUGUUUAUCGUGGCUUUCUACGAACUUACCUCGGGUUAAAGGAAAUGAACUGUGUUGCUGGUCAGAUGAUGAUGACUCUGGUUCAUUAUAAUAAUAAAGUCCCAAGGCGAAAGAGAGAGAGAAGCGCGGAUAAUAAAGUCAUUAACUUGAAGCAAACAGAGAUGUCGUCAUGGGCUGAUUCACACACUACUUUACACAGGACAGAUUCUGGAAUGACGUCUCCAUUGAAACUUCACCGGACGUGGCACAUUGAUAAAAAAUGCUUUAGCUGUAAAAAUACUGUUUCAACGUAAACUGUGUGUGUUUGUUUUCAAUAAAAGUUUUUUUUUAAUGCUCACAAUG
Long non-coding RNA from Acipenser ruthenus (sterlet), 570 nucleotides. RefSeq lists it as uncharacterized. The transcript is spliced from 3 exons. NCBI's taxonomy places the organism in Eukaryota, Metazoa, Chordata, Actinopteri, Acipenseriformes, Acipenseridae. The record is from RefSeq and is a predicted model, not a curated record.